RNAcentral lists this ribosomal RNA (484 nucleotides) under Blastocystis sp. subtype 3. Its description in RNAcentral is "bacterial SSU rRNA". It matches the Rfam family "Eukaryotic small subunit ribosomal RNA", at positions 459 to 954 of the family's 1831-position model. The record is from RNAcentral. Lineage: Eukaryota; Bigyra; Opalinata; Blastocystidae.
UGGAGGUAGUGACAAUAAAUCACAAUGCGGAACAAUGUUUUGCAAUUGGAUUGAGAACAACGUACAAACCUUAUCGAUAAACAAUUGGAGGGCAAGUCUGGUGCCAGCAGCCGCGGUAAUUCCAGCUCCAAUAGCGUAUAUUAACGUUGUUGCAGUUAAAAAGCUCGUAGUUGAAAUGAAGGGUAGUUGUGUAAUGAAUACAUUCGUGUAUUUUGUUAUUCUACUACCCUCCUUCUAAAUUCGAUAUAUGAGUAUUAAUUUACUUGUAUAUGGUUUUAGACGUUUACUGUGAGAAAAUUAGAGUGUUCAAAGCAGGCAUUUGCUUGAAUAUAUUAGCAUGGAAUAAUCAUGUAUGAUUUUCAUGAUGUAUUUGAUUGGUUUGGUUCAUGAGAAUAAGAUUAAAAGGGACAGUUGGGGGUAUUCAUAUUCAAUAGUCAGAGGUGAAAUUCUCGGAUUUAUGGAAGAUGAACAAGUGCGAAAGCAA